UACGUAGGGCGCAAGCGUUGUCCGGAAUUAUUGGGCGUAAAGAGCUCGUAGGUGGCUUGUCGCGUCUGCCGUGAAAGCCCAUGGCUUAACUGUGGGUCUGCGGUGGAUACGGGCUGGCUAGAGGUAGGUAGGGGCAAGCGGAAUUCCUGGUGUAGCGGUGAAAUGCGCAGAUAUCAGGAAGAACACGCGUGGCUAAGGCGGCUCUCUAGUACGGUACUGACGCUGAGACGCGAAAGCGUGGGGAGCGAACAGG
This 253-nucleotide ribosomal RNA is filed under the name uncultured bacterium. RNAcentral describes it as "partial 16S ribosomal RNA". It matches the Rfam family "Bacterial small subunit ribosomal RNA", at positions 524 to 776 of the family's 1533-position model. The record is from RNAcentral.